Molecule: ribosomal RNA, 76 nt
Filed under: Mesocricetus auratus (golden hamster)
Lineage: Eukaryota; Metazoa; Chordata; Mammalia; Rodentia; Cricetidae
Source: RNAcentral
CUCAGUAACACGCACAGGGCCAGGCCCGGUUAGUACUUGGAUGGGGACUGCCUGGGAAUACCGGGUGCUGCAGGGG